GUUUCUCAUGGUGAGAAGACAAUAUUUGCUUUCUCUUCUUCCUUUCUUCCGGAUGAGAGGCUAAGCCAUAAUAGAAAGAAUGGAUAAUUAUUGAUUGACCAUCUUUAUUCUGUGGGCUCUGAUUCUCCAAUGGGAAUACCAAGGGAUGGUUUUCCAUACUGGAACCCAAAGGUAAAGACACUCAAGGACAGACAUUUUUGGCAGAGGUAAGAUCUUCUUCGGUCACCAUACUUGAGUUAGCCCUGGGAAAGUGGACAUUUCCAUGCAGAAUCCUAAAGCUUCUUCCAGGCCAUAGUGUCUGUCCCACACCUUCUGGUAUCUCUUGAUAUGCAGCAUAGAUGAAAAUGGCAAGUUCCCUGGCUUUCCUUCUGCUCAACUUUCAUGUCUCCCUCCUCUUGGUCCAGCUGCUCACUCCUUGCUCAGGUAGGGAAUGAUUCCACGAUUCCACAUUUAUGUUUCUGAAGCAGACAAUUAUCUCAAUUACCUAAUUAAGCAGACAAUUACCUAAAUGCCCUCUUAGAACCUUUAACUCAUUCCCAUACCUGGAAGUCCAUCCCAACCUGAAGGAUCACCUGUCACAAAGAGACAAAUGGCCCUUCUGUUAGGAUUGUGUUCCCCUCUAGGUUCUCUGUAUCUCGCCUUCCCUGUCUGAGAAGGACCCUUCCUCUCAUGACCCCAACUCCAAAACCCUCUGAUGGAGCUUCCCCCUUGUGCUGACAGCUCAGUUUUCUGUGCUUGGACCCUCUGGGCCCAUCCUGGCCAUGGUGGGUGAAGACGCUGAUCUGCCCUGUCACCUGUUCCCGACCAUGAGUGCAGAGACCAUGGAGCUGAAGUGGGUAAGUUCCAGCCUAAGGCAGGUGGUGAACGUGUAUGCAGAUGGAAAGG
RNAcentral lists this small RNA (885 nucleotides) under Pan troglodytes (chimpanzee). RNAcentral's name for it is "retained intron". Lineage: Eukaryota; Metazoa; Chordata; Mammalia; Primates; Hominidae. The record is from RNAcentral.